AGUCCCGCAACGAGCGCAACCCUUAUCCUUUGUUGCCAGCGGUCCGGCCGGGAACUCAAAGGAGACUGCCAGUGAUAAACUGGAGGAAGGUGGGGAUGACGUCAAGUCAUCAUGGCCCUUACGACCAGGGCUACACACGUGCUACAAUGGCGCAUACAAAGAGAAGCGACCUCGCGAGAGCAAGCGGACCUCAUAAAGUGCGUCGUAGUCCGGAUUGGAGUCUGCAACUCGACUCCAUGAAGUCGGAAUCGCUAGUAAUCGUGGAUCAGAAUGCCACGGUGAAUACGUUCCCGGGCCUUGUACACACCGCCCGUCACACCAUGGGAGUGGGUUGCAAAAGAAGUAGGUAGCUUAACCUUCGGGAGGGCGCUUACCACUUUGUGAUUCAUGACUGGGGUGAAGUCGUAACAAGGUAACCGUAGGGGAACCUGCGGUUGGAUCACCUCCUU
Molecule: ribosomal RNA, 449 nt
Filed under: Escherichia coli
Lineage: Bacteria; Pseudomonadati; Pseudomonadota; Gammaproteobacteria; Enterobacterales; Enterobacteriaceae
Description: bacterial SSU rRNA
Rfam family: Bacterial small subunit ribosomal RNA
Source: RNAcentral